AACGAACGCUGGCGGCAUGCCUAACACAUGCAAGUCGAACGAGACCUUCGGGUCUAGUGGCGCACGGGUGCGUAACGCGUGGGAACCUGCCCUUAGGUUCGGAAUAACUCCCCGAAAGGGGUGCUAAUACCGGAUAAUGUCUUCGGACCAAAGAUUUAUCGCCUUUGGAGGGGCCCGCGUUGGAUUAGCUCGUUGGUAGGGUAAAAGCCUACCAAGGCGACGAUCCAUAGCUGGUCUGAGAGGAUGCUCAGCCACACUGGGACUGAGACACGGCCCAGACUCCUACGGGAGGCAGGAGUGGGGAAUAUUGGACAAUGGGCGAAAGCCUGAUCCAGCAAUGCCGCGUGAGUGAUGAAGGCCUGAGGGUUGUAAAGCUCUUUUACCCGGGAUGAUAAUGACAGUACCGGGAGAAUAAGCUCCGGCUAACUCCGUG
RNAcentral lists this ribosomal RNA (433 nucleotides) under uncultured bacterium. Its description in RNAcentral is "partial 16S ribosomal RNA". It matches the Rfam family "Bacterial small subunit ribosomal RNA", at positions 29 to 507 of the family's 1533-position model. The record is from RNAcentral.